RNAcentral lists this small RNA (570 nucleotides) under Pongo abelii (Sumatran orangutan). RNAcentral's name for it is "retained intron". The record is from RNAcentral. Lineage: Eukaryota; Metazoa; Chordata; Mammalia; Primates; Hominidae.
GCAUUUGCCUUUACUGUGGAGUUUUGUUGCCGGUUCUGCUCCCUAAUCUUCCUUUUCUGACGUGCCUGAGCAUGUCCACAUUAGAAUCUGUGACAUACCUACCUGAAAAAGGUUUAUAUUGUCAGAGACUGCCAAGCAGCCGGACACACGGGGGCACAGAAUCACUGAAGGGGAAAAAUACAGAAAAUAUGGGUUUCUACGGCACAUUAAAAAUGAUUUUUUACAAAAUGAAAAGAAAGUUGGACCAUGGUUCUGAGGUCCGCUCUUUUUCUUUGGGAAAGAAACCAUGCAAAGUCUCAGAAUAUACAAGUACCACUGGGCUUGUACCAUGUUCAGCAACACCAACAACUUUUGGGGACCUCAGAGCAGCCAAUGGCCAAGGGCAACAACGACGCCGAAUUACAUCUGUCCAGCCACCUACAGGCCUCCAGGAAUGGCUAAAAAUGUUUCAGGUGACAUAUCUAAACAUAGUACUUGAAAUGCCUCACUUAAUUGCUGCAAAAUAAGGGAUUAUUCAUCCGUAAAAAAAGAAGGAAGCACUUUUACAUAGUAUACUGUGGAUGAACUUUG